CCUACGGGGGACAGCAGUGAGGAAUAUUGGUCAAUGGGCGUAAGCCUGAACCAGCCAAGUCGCGUGAGGGAUGAAGGUUCUAUGGAUCGUAAACCUCUUUUAUCAGGGAAUAAAGUGCGGGACGUGUCCCGUUUUGUAUGUACCUUAUGAAUAAGGAUCGGCUAACUCCGUGCCAGCAGCCGCGGUAAUACGGAGGAUCCGAGCGUUAUCCGGAUUUAUUGGGUUUAAAGGGUGCGUAGGCGGCGAGUUAAGUCAGCGGUAAAAUUUCGGGGCUCAACCCCGACAAGCCGUUGAAACUGGCUUGUGAGAGUGGGCGAGAAGUAUGCGGAAUGCGUGGUGUAGCGGUGAAAUGCAUAGAUAUCACGCAGAACUCCGAUUGCGAAGGCAGCAUACCGGCGCCCAACUGACGCUCAGGCACGAAAGCGUGGGUAUCGAACAGGAUUAGAUACCCGUGUAGUC
This 459-nucleotide ribosomal RNA is filed under the name uncultured bacterium. RNAcentral's name for it is "partial 16S ribosomal RNA". It matches the Rfam family "Bacterial small subunit ribosomal RNA", at positions 338 to 795 of the family's 1533-position model. The record is from RNAcentral.